Molecule: ribosomal RNA, 446 nt
Filed under: uncultured bacterium
Lineage: Bacteria
Description: partial 16S ribosomal RNA
Rfam family: Bacterial small subunit ribosomal RNA
Source: RNAcentral
AGGGAAUCUUCCACAAUGGACGCAAGUCUGAUGGAGCAACGCCGCGUGAGUGAAGAAGGUCUUCGGAUCGUAAAGCUCUGUUGUUGGUGAAGAAGGAUAGAGGCAGUAACUGGUCUUUAUUUGACGGUAAUCAACCAGAAAGUCACGGCUAACUACGUGCCAGCAGCCGCGGUAAUACGUAGGUGGCAAGCGUUGUCCGGAUUUAUUGGGCGUAAAGCGAGCGCAGGCGGAAUGAUAAGUCUGAUGUGAAAGCCCACGGCUCAACCGUGGAACUGCAUCGGAAACUGUCAUUCUUGAGUGCAGAAGAGGAGAGUGGAACUCCAUGUGUAGCGGUGGAAUGCGUAGAUAUAUGGAAGAACACCAGUGGCGAAGGCGGCUCUCUGGUCUGCAACUGACGCUGAGGCUCGAAAGCAUGGGUAGCGAACAGGAUUAGAUACCCUGGUAGU